GCGCUGCAUUAGCUAGUUGGUAAGGUAACGGCUUACCAAGGCAACGAUGCAUAGCCGACCUGAGAGGGUGAUCGGCCACACUGGAACUGAGACACGGUCCAGACUCCUACGGGAGGCAGCAGUAGGGAAUCUUCCGCAAUGGGCGAAAGCCUGACGGAGCAACGCCGCGUGAGUGAUGAAGGUCUUCGGAUCGUAAAACUCUGUUAUUAGGGAAGAACAUAUGUGUAAGUAACUGUGCACAUCUUGACGGUACCUAAUCAGAAAGCCACGGCUAACUACGUGCCAGCAGCCGCGGUAAUACGUAGGUGGCAAGCGUUAUCCGGAAUUAUUGGGCGUAAAGCGCGCGUAGGCGGUUUUUUAAGUCUGAUGUGAAAGCCCACGGCUCAACCGUGGAGGGUCAUUGGAAACUGGAAAACUUGAGUGCAGAAGAGGAAAGUGGAAUUCCAUGUGUAGCGGUGAAAUGCGCAGAGAUAUGGAGGAACACCAGUGGCGAAGGCGACUUUCUGGUCUGUAACUGACGCUGAUGUGCGAAAGCGUGGGGAUCAAACAGGAUUAGAUACCCUGGUAGUCCACGCCGUAAACGAUGAGUGCUAAGUGUUAGGGGGUUUCCGCCCCUUAGUGCUGCAGCUAACGCAUUAAGCACUCCGCCUGGGGAGUACGACCGC
RNAcentral lists this ribosomal RNA (665 nucleotides) under Staphylococcus aureus. RNAcentral's name for it is "bacterial SSU rRNA". It matches the Rfam family "Bacterial small subunit ribosomal RNA", at positions 233 to 889 of the family's 1533-position model. Lineage: Bacteria; Bacillati; Bacillota; Bacilli; Caryophanales; Staphylococcaceae. The record is from RNAcentral.